Molecule: ribosomal RNA, 495 nt
Filed under: uncultured bacterium
Lineage: Bacteria
Description: bacterial SSU rRNA
Rfam family: Bacterial small subunit ribosomal RNA
Source: RNAcentral
UCCUACGGGAGGCAGCAGUGGGGAAUCUUGCACAAUGGAGGAAACUCUGAUGCAGCGAUGCCGCGUGAGUGAAGAAGGCCUUUGGGUUGUAAAGCUCUUUUGUAGGGGAAGAUAAUGACUGUACCCUAAGAAUAAGGUCCGGCUAACUUCGUGCCAGCAGCCGCGGUAAUACGAAGGGACCUAGCGUAGUUCGGAAUUACUGGGCGUAAAGCGCGCGUAGGCCGUUGAGUUAGUUAAUUGUGAAAUCCCAAAGCUUAACUUUGGAACUGCAAUUAAAACUGCUCGACUAGAGUUUGAUAGAGGAAAGCGGAAUACAUAGUGUAGAGGUGAAAUUCGUAGAUAUUAUGUAGAACACCAGUUGCGAAGGCGGCUUUCUGGAUCAACACUGACGCUGAGGCGCGAAAGUAUGGGUAGCAAAGAGGAUUAGAUACCCUCGUAGUCCAUACCAUAAACGAUGAUUGCUAGAUGUGGAAAUUUAUUUCAGUAUCGCAGCUA